AAACUUUCAACAACGGAUCUCUUGGUUCUGGCAUCGAUGAAGAACGCAGCGAAAUGCGAUAAGUAAUGUGAAUUGCAGAAUUCAGUGAAUCAUCGAAUCUUUGAACGCACAUUGCGCCCUCUGGUAUUCCGGAGGGCAUGCCUGUUCGAGCGUCAU
RNAcentral lists this ribosomal RNA (156 nucleotides) under Diaporthe helianthi. Its description in RNAcentral is "5.8S ribosomal RNA". It matches the Rfam family "5.8S ribosomal RNA". From Rfam's summary of the family: 5.8S ribosomal RNA (5.8S rRNA) is a component of the large subunit of the eukaryotic ribosome. It is transcribed by RNA polymerase I as part of the 45S precursor that also contains 18S and 28S rRNA. Functionally, it is thought that 5.8S rRNA may be involved in ribosome translocation. Lineage: Eukaryota; Fungi; Ascomycota; Sordariomycetes; Diaporthales; Diaporthaceae. The record is from RNAcentral.